RNAcentral lists this unclassified non-coding RNA (342 nucleotides) under soil metagenome. Its description in RNAcentral is "partial contains 5.8S ribosomal RNA, internal transcribed spacer 2, and large subunit ribosomal RNA". The stretch from base 1 to 120 matches the Rfam family "5.8S ribosomal RNA", at positions 35 to 154 of the family's 154-position model. The record is from RNAcentral.
GAUGAAGAACGUAGCGAAAUGCAAUAAGUAGUGUGAAUUGCAGAAUUCAGUGAAUCAUCGAAUCUUUGAACGCACAUUGCGCCCUUUGGUAUUCCAAAGGGCAUGCCUGUUCGAGCGUCAUUUGUACCCUCAAGCUUUGCUUGGUGUUGGGCGUCUUGUCUCUAGCUUUGCUGGAGACUCGCCUUAAAGUAAUUGGCAGCCGGCCUACUGGUUUCGGAGCGCAGCACAAGUCGCACUCUCUAUCAGCAAAGGUCUAGCAUCCAUUAAGCCUUUUUUUUCAACUUUUGACCUCGGAUCAGGUAGGGAUACCCGCUGAACUUAAGCAUAUCAAUAAGCGGAGGA